This is a long non-coding RNA of Triplophysa dalaica, 1572 nucleotides long. RefSeq lists it as uncharacterized. The transcript has 2 exons. The record is from RefSeq and is a predicted model, not a curated record. NCBI's taxonomy places the organism in Eukaryota, Metazoa, Chordata, Actinopteri, Cypriniformes, Nemacheilidae.
ACAAGAGUCACGUGAUCAUUCACGCCCCAAUCUGAGUCGUAACUUCCUUGUUUUUGUCUGAACCUUUGAAUUUGAAACCAUCUGACGAAGAUACGAUCAAAACACACGGGGAACGAAAUGCGUUUAACCAGAUGUCACGAUCGAGGAUACGCAGGGCUUGGAUUAAGGGAUCAAUCUGAAUAUUGUGCUGUUGAACACUCCUGAUUCAGAUUAUCAUCUCCCAGAAGAUCUGUUUUGGCACAUUAUAUCUUCCGAAAUACAGUGACAUAAACACACUUCGUAACAAGCUAAUACAUGCUGUCAGCUUUUGUGAGUUUUUGGAAAGGGGUGAGAAGGUCAACAAUGCUUGAAUGCACCAAACCCCAAGUAGCCUAUAUGUGAUCAGCGUUAGGCUGAUGGCUGCCUUUUGUAUCUCUUUACGUUAAACAAAUCCUAUAUCUCAGAUGCACAGUUCUAGCAUUUAAAAUGUCAUGUCUUGGUUUAAUUCUCAGAGAACACAUGGACUGAAUAAAUGUAUAUCUUGAAUGCACUGAAGUCACAUUACUUCGUUUCAGUAACACAUAAAUUAAGCAGGGGUGUGAACGGUACGUGUAUUUGUACAGAACCAUCAUCGAUAACAUUCUAAAUAUAGCCAUCACUCCUACACCCUAUUCCCUUCGAAGGGCGGAGCCCUUGGACUUUAGACUUUGGAGUUAACAGGUUAUUUGCGUGCCAUUAUGUAGACGUUUGGAAUGCACUUGGCAAAGGGAAAAACGUCAUUUUCUCAUUAUUUUCAGCUGGCAUGUUUCCGUGACAACGAAGCAUUGGCUUGUUCGACUUGAUGUGACGCCGCAAGAUCCGACAGGUUGAUGACAUCAAAGUACCACGAGAGCGAUUCGAAAAAAAACAUAAAAAAAUUGCUUUCGAAUCGCCCUCGUGGUACUAUGAUGCCUGUCGGAUCUUGAAGCGCCGAAUCAAGUCGAACAAACCUAUUGUGUCCGUCAGUUUAUGUCACUGUUUUAAUGUCAUACAUUUUAAAAGUUUUAAAAAGAUGCUAUAUAAUAUAAAACACAUAUAUCAAAGUUUUAAAAAUAUCAAAGGUUUCGUUUAUUGGCAAACCGUUAGGUUUUAUGCUGAAGAUAAUGUGGAAAUUACGUCGCUCCCUUUGUCAAGUGCAUUCUAAACGUCGACGUAAUGUCACGCAAAUGCCCUGUUCACUCCAAAGUCUAAAGUGAGUAGUGCAUACAUAGGAAUGAUGACUUCAUUUGGAAGUUUCCCCGGGACAGCUCGUGACGGUUCAGUACGAAUACACUUACCGUUACACCCCUAAAAUUAAGUCAUAUUUUAUAACCCUUCUGCAGAAAUGGGUUCUUUGUGUAAAUAGGACAAUUAUGGUUCCCAACCUUCAGUCAAUAGUUCUUAUAUGAUCCAUAUCCUUUUUAUAAUAUGAAAGAAACAUUUUUCCGAUACCUGUUGUGGAAUUAAACAUUUUUUGGAUGUUUUGAUUUGGAAACACAUUUAAUGUGCUUAAUGUUGUAUUGUUAUUCAUGAAUGUUUACUUUUAGAGAAAUAAAAAGACAUAUUUGCUCACAA